RNAcentral lists this ribosomal RNA (482 nucleotides) under uncultured bacterium. RNAcentral describes it as "partial 16S ribosomal RNA". It matches the Rfam family "Bacterial small subunit ribosomal RNA", at positions 28 to 523 of the family's 1533-position model. The record is from RNAcentral.
GACGAACGCUGGCGGCGUGCUUAAUACAUGCAAGUCGAACGAUGAAGCCCAGCUUGCUGGGUGGAUUAGUGGCGAACGGGUGAGUAACACGUGGGCAACCUGCCCCAAACUCUGGGAUAACUCCUCGAAAGAGGUGCUAAUACCGGAUACGAACUAGACAGACAUCUGUACUAGUUGGAAAGUUUUUCGGUUUGGGAUGGGCCCGCGGCCUAUCAGCUUGUUGGUGAGGUAACGGCUCACCAAGGCUACGACGGGUAACCGGCCUGAGAGGGCGACCGGUCACACUGGGACUGAGACACGGCCCAGACUCCUACGGGAGGCAGCAGUGGGGAAUAUCGCGCAAUGGGCGAAAGCCUGACGCAGCGACGCCGCGUGAGGGAUGAAGGUCUUCGGAUCGUAAACCUCUUUCAGUAGGGACGAAGCGAAAGUGACGGUACCUAAAGAAGAAGCACCGGCUAACUACGUGCCAGCCGCCGCCGUAA